RNAcentral lists this long non-coding RNA (2028 nucleotides) under Nicotiana benthamiana. Its description in RNAcentral is "long non-coding RNA (NBEN_LNC022015)". Lineage: Eukaryota; Viridiplantae; Streptophyta; Magnoliopsida; Solanales; Solanaceae. The record is from RNAcentral.
CGAACUAAAAAGGAAAUAGGUUCACAUAAAAAAAAGGGAGUAUUUAUUAGAAGCACGGCCUCUUAGCAUUUUGCUCCGUAACCUUUGUUCUGCUUUUCAGUUGACAGCCUACUCUCUCACUUAGAGAGUUUAACACUGAUCUAUAUUACCAUUGCUGAACUUAAAGAAUAUCUAUCUUCAGUCAUUGAGCAAAUACACACCCAUUUAGCAAGGGCAAACUUGAUAACUGCAACAUAAAGAUUUUUCUGCUUCCCUACUGCUGAAUUGAGGUGGUAGACUUCCCACCAUAUUUUUGGAGCCUUUAUGCUCAGUAGCAUAGACAGACCAUUUUCUCCUCAUAGUUGCUACAGAUUUGCAUCAUGCUAAGUAGCCAAGAAACAUUAUUUAAAAUAAGGAUGUCAUGGUAUCUAAUAGUGUCUUGCAUGAUUCAUUUCUGACAAACAAUUCCUCUUACCUUUUUUACUAUUUGAAGAGGAGACAUAUGCAACAUUAUGUUUAAUAGUCUGCCAAUACAGAUUAACCUUCAUAUAUACAUGAGAUAGAAAUCCACUAGAAAAAACAUAUACAUGAAAUAGAAAUAACACGGUUAAAAUUACUAUGAUUAUGCAUUUCGUUAUCAAUCAUAUGAAUUGUGAAAAUAGAUGUAUUUUUUAUCGGCAAAGGUAUAAUUGUGAAAAUAGAGGUAUUAUUGCAUAUGAAUAAGAACUCCAAAGCACUCAUAACAAAUCAAUUAGUUUUUUUCUGCCAUUAAUUGAGAUUAGAAUAAAACUUUCAAAAAGCUCAUUAAACAGUAUAAUUGACACUUCCCAACAUUUUAAACUACAAUCUCAUAUAUAUGCUUAUUAUGACAUGACGACCCAACUCCAGGAGAAAUAGAUUGAGAUCAGAUUGAAGGGAACACACAGUUGAGCAGAGAAGGAGAUGAACAAGUAAGAAGCGGGAAUUACAAGCCUAUAGUGACUGCAAACAUUUGGGAAGUUGAAGGCAUAGAGUAAGAGGAACCCUUGUAAGCAGCAGAUGUAACAUUCUUUUUUGAUAAAUGCGAAAAGGAAUGAUAUAGGGAGGUGCAAAAUGCCAAGAGAGCUAAUAGUGCCUUUACUCUCUUAUUAGGAUGCAUUAUAGAAAAAAGAAAAAGGAUAAAAAGGUUACGUAAACCUCGCUCAUUUAUCUAUUUCCCAACCUGCAUAACGCAUAAAUAUACACUGUUUCGAAGUACUUGAGAAAUUAAGAACAUUUUGGUCAUUGAGUCUAAGAAAUAAGAGCUGCAAUCCUAUCCCAACUUCCCAUUUGCAAUCCACUUGUCAAAAGCAACUCAUUUAUUGCUGUCUUCAUAGCAUACUUGAGCCAGUAAAAGGAAACUAGUAACAGUUUUAUACAAGUGCAUUAAUGGUAUCAGGAAUCUCUUAAUUAGUCGCUAAACCCAUCGUCCGUGCUAAAAAUCCAUAACAAAAGAAUUACUUCACUGUCUACACAAGCAGAGCGUUUAAUUUCAACUUUUUAAAGUUACAAUAACUAACAAGACAACAAAUUUGGGAAACACUGUAGACAGGUUCAACAGCCUGAGCUUCGCUCUGGAAGAAAAUAUUUUUUCAAGUAUUCAGAUGAACAAUGAGUGUGAUUUAGUUGCUGUUACCUCAUUGUUGCUGAGGCUUAACAGUGUGCUUCUCUACACGCCAAAAUUGCACAUCUGCACAAAUUCCAUUUCAGAAUCAAUAUAUUUAGUCCAUAGCUCCUUGUACUGCCACGAUUUAUCCAAUGAUUUGGUUUUCGAGUAGAAGGUCAUCAGCCCAGCUGGAAGAGUUCCCAAUUUCCACAAUGUACGAUCCGUUCAAGGCUAUGUCCAGCCAAGGCUUCAUAUCUCCAUUAUAGUGAAUCACAGCAGCCUUGUGGAUUUCAUCCAUGCUUACACUUGGAUUGUACCCAAGGCCAAGUACAUGCCACGAUUUAUCCAAUGAUUUGGUUUUCGAGUAGAAGGUCAUCAGCCCAGCUGGAAGAGUUCCCAAUUUCCACAAUGUACGAUCCUCAUUC